AGCGAACGCUGCCGGCAGGCUUAACACAUGCAAGUCGAGCGGGCAUAGCAAUAUGUCAGCGGCAGACGGGUGAGUAACGCGUGGGAACGUACCUUUUGGUUCGGAACAACACAGGGAAACUUGUGCUAAUACCGGAUAAGCCCUUACGGGGAAAGAUUUAUCGCCGAAAGAUCGGCCCGCGUCUGAUUAGCUAGUUGGUGAGGUAAUGGCUCACCAAGGCGACGAUCAGUAGCUGGUCUGAGAGGAUGAUCAGCCACAUUGGGACUGAGACACGGCCCAAACUCCUACGGGAGGCAGCAGUGGGGAAUAUUGGACAAUGGGCGCAAGCCUGAUCCAGCCAUGCCGCGUGAGUGAUGAAGGCCCUAGGGUUGUAAAGCUCUUUUGUGCGGGAAGAUAAUGACGGUACCGCAAGAAUAAGCCCCGGCUAACUUCGUG
This 435-nucleotide ribosomal RNA is filed under the name uncultured bacterium. Its description in RNAcentral is "partial 16S ribosomal RNA". It matches the Rfam family "Bacterial small subunit ribosomal RNA", at positions 29 to 507 of the family's 1533-position model. The record is from RNAcentral.